CUGGACCUCAGAUCAGGCGAGGCGACCCGCUGAACUUAAGCAUAUCAAUAAGCGGAGGAAAAGCAACUAACCAGGAUUCCCCCAGUAACGGCGAGCGAAGCGGGAAGAGCUCGAGCAGGCAAUCUCUGGUGUCGAUCGCCAGCGAAUUGUGGCCGGCAGAGGCGGGUGCACCUGAAGCGACUCCGUCGAAGUUGACCUGGAAAGGCACGUCGGAGAGGGUGAUAGCCCCGUGCGUGGCGGAGUCGCCGACGGCCGCUACCGUCUUCGGAGAGUCGGGUUGUUUGGGAGUGCAGCCCAAAGUGGGUGGUAAACUCCAUCUAAAGCCAAAUAACGGCACGAGACCGAUAGCGAACAAGUACCAUGAGGGAAAGGUGAAAAGCACUUUGGAAAGAGAGUUAAAGAGGCCGCGAAACCGUUGGGAGGGAAACGCAUGCAGCCGAACGGGCCCUCGUCGGGUUCAGGGGGCUGCGAGGAGUCGUGCGUGCAGACGGCACCCUCGCGGGUCGUCCGUGCGUCCGGGCCUCUCGCACCCCUGCACUCUCGGCGGUUGUGGCCGGCCAAGUGCGGUGGGCUCCGGGCGAGGAGCGCGCGUCGGGCAGGUAGCGCAGCUGUCUCUGGCAGAGGCGAACUUACAGCCGAGCGUGCGGAGCGUCCGGCGCCUACCGAGGAGAGCGGUGGCACUUCCACCCCAGCAGCGCAGGUCCGCUUCGGCGGGCCGGAGCGCUCCCGUCCGUUCAGCAGCCGGGCCGUGUCACUGCGUGCAGUGUCCGGCCUCGGUUCGUUCGUCCGGGUAGGAGGUCGUCUCACGCCUUGCGCUGUGGUCGCUUGGCUAGCCGUCGGCUGCAUUCGA
Molecule: ribosomal RNA, 850 nt
Filed under: Corallistes masoni
Lineage: Eukaryota; Metazoa; Porifera; Demospongiae; Tetractinellida; Corallistidae
Description: eukaryotic LSU rRNA
Rfam family: Eukaryotic large subunit ribosomal RNA
Source: RNAcentral